UACGGGAGGCAGCAGUGGGGAAUAUUGCACAAUGGGCGCAAGCCUGAUGCAGCCAUGCCGCGUGUAUGAAGAAGGCCUUCGGGUUGUAAAGUACUUUCAGUCGUGAGGAAGGUGUUAAGGUUAAUAACCUUAGCAAUUGACGUUAGCGACAGAAGAAGCACCGGCUAACUCCGUGCCAGCAGCCGCGGUAAUACGGAGGGUGCGAGCGUUAAUCGGAAUUACUGGGCGUAAAGGGCACGCAGGCGGUUAAUUAAGUUGGAUGUGAAAUCCCCGGGCUUAACCUGGGAAUGGCAUUCAAGACUGGUUAGCUAGAGUCUUGUAGAGGGGGUAGAAUUCCAUGUGUAGCGGUGAAAUGCGUAGAGAUGUGGAGGAAAUACCGGUGGCGAAGGCGGCCCCUGGACAAAGACUGACGCUCAUGUGCGAAAAGCGUGGGGAGCAAACAGGGAUUAGAUACC
This 455-nucleotide ribosomal RNA is filed under the name uncultured bacterium. Its description in RNAcentral is "bacterial SSU rRNA". It matches the Rfam family "Bacterial small subunit ribosomal RNA", at positions 340 to 786 of the family's 1533-position model. The record is from RNAcentral.